Molecule: ribosomal RNA, 2541 nt
Filed under: Vibrio parahaemolyticus
Lineage: Bacteria; Pseudomonadati; Pseudomonadota; Gammaproteobacteria; Vibrionales; Vibrionaceae
Description: bacterial LSU rRNA
Rfam family: Bacterial large subunit ribosomal RNA
Source: RNAcentral
UUAAGUGACUAAGCGUACACGGUGGAUGCCUUGGCAGUCAGAGGCGAUGAAAGACGUAGUAACUUGCGAUAAGCCCAGAUUAGGUAGUAACAACCAUUUGAGUCUGGGAUUUCUGAAUGGGGAAACCCACGUGCAUAAGCACGUAUCCUUACCUGAAUACAUAGGGUAAGGAGGCGAACCGGGGGAACUGAAACAUCUAAGUACCCCGAGGAAAAGAAAUCAACCGAGAUUCCGAAAGUAGCGGCGAGCGAAAUUGGACUAGCCCUUAAGCUUUACACGCGUUAGACGAACGGUCUGGAAAGUCCGACGAUACAGGGUGAUAGUCCCGUAGUUGACGACGUGUGUUCAGUGAAAUCGAGUAGGGCGGGACACGUGAUAUCCUGUCUGAAUAUGGGGGGACCAUCCUCCAAGGCUAAAUACUACUGACUGACCGAUAGUGAACCAGUACCGUGAGGGAAAGGCGAAAAGAACCCCUGUGAGGGGAGUGAAAUAGAACCUGAAACCGUGUACGUACAAGCAGUAGGAGCAGGCUUUGUCCUGUGACUGCGUACCUUUUGUAUAAUGGGUCAGCGACUUAUAUUCAGUGGCAAGGUUAACCAUCUAGGGGAGCCGUAGGGAAACCGAGUCUUAACUGGGCGUUCAGUCUCUGGAUAUAGACCCGAAACCAGGUGAUCUAGCCAUGGGCAGGUUGAAGGUUGAGUAACAUCAACUGGAGGACCGAACCGACUAAUGUUGAAAAAUUAGCGGAUGACUUGUGGCUAGGGGUGAAAGGCCAAUCAAACCUGGAGAUAGCUGGUUCUCCCCGAAAGCUAUUUAGGUAGCGCCUCGGACGAAUACUACUGGGGGUAGAGCACUGUUAAGGCUAGGGGGUCAUCCCGACUUACCAACCCUUUGCAAACUCCGAAUACCAGUAAGUACUAUCCGGGAGACACACGGCGGGUGCUAACGUCCGUCGUGGAGAGGGAAACAACCCAGACCGCCAGCUAAGGUCCCAAAUUACUACUAAGUGGGAAACGAUGUGGGAAGGCUCAGACAGCCAGGAUGUUGGCUUAGAAGCAGCCAUCAUUUAAAGAAAGCGUAAUAGCUCACUGGUCGAGUCGGCCUGCGCGGAAGAUGUAACGGGGCUAAGUAGUAAACCGAAGCUGCGGCAAUGUGCUUUUGCACAUUGGGUAGGGGAGCGUUCUGUAAGCGGUUGAAGGUGUGUGGUAACGCAUGCUGGACGUAUCAGAAGUGCGAAUGCUGACAUGAGUAACGAUAAAGGGGGUGAAAAACCUCCUCGCCGGAAGACCAAGGGUUCCUGUCCAACGUUAAUCGGGGCAGGGUAAGUCGACCCCUAAGGCGAGGCCGAAAGGCGUAGUCGAUGGGAAACGGGUUAAUAUUCCCGUACUUCUUACAAUUGCGAUGGGGGGACGGAGAAGGCUAGGUGGGCCUGGCGACGGUUGUCCAGGUUCAAGUGCGUAGGCUUAAGAGUUAGGUAAAUCCGGCUCUUUUUAAGGCUGAGACACGACGUCGAGCAUCUACGGAUGUGAAGUCAUUGAUGCCAUGCUUCCAGGAAAAGCCUCUAAGCUUCAGAUUGUAAGGAAUCGUACCCCAAACCGACACAGGUGGUCGGGUAGAGAAUACCAAGGCGCUUGAGAGAACUCGGGUGAAGGAACUAGGCAAAAUGGUACCGUAACUUCGGGAGAAGGUACGCUCUCGACGGUGAAGUCCCUCGCGGAUGGAGCUAUUGAGAGUCGCAGAUACCAGGUGGCUGCAACUGUUUAUUAAAAACACAGCACUGUGCAAAAUCGUAAGAUGACGUAUACGGUGUGACGCCUGCCCGGUGCCGGAAGGUUAAUUGAUGGGGUUAGACUUCGGUCGAAGCUCUUGAUCGAAGCCCCGGUAAACGGCGGCCGUAACUAUAACGGUCCUAAGGUAGCGAAAUUCCUUGUCGGGUAAGUUCCGACCUGCACGAAUGGCGUAAUGAUGGCCACGCUGUCUCCACCCGAGACUCAGUGAAAUUGAAAUCGCUGUGAAGAUGCAGUGUACCCGCGGCUAGACGGAAAGACCCCGUGAACCUUUACUACAGCUUGGCACUGAACAUUGACCCUACAUGUGUAGGAUAGGUGGGAGGCUUUGAAGCACGUACGCCAGUAUGUGUGGAGCCGUCCUUGAAAUACCACCCUUGUAGUGUUGAUGUUCUAACGUCGACCCCUUAUCGGGGUUGCGGACAGUGCCUGGUGGGUAGUUUGACUGGGGCGGUCUCCUCCCAAAGAGUAACGGAGGAGCACGAAGGUGGGCUAAUCACGGUUGGACAUCGUGAGGUUAGUGCAAUGGCAUAAGCCCGCUUGACUGCGAGAAUGACAAUUCGAGCAGGUGCGAAAGCAGGUCAUAGUGAUCCGGUGGUUCUGAAUGGAAGGGCCAUCGCUCAACGGAUAAAAGGUACUCCGGGGAUAACAGGCUGAUACCGCCCAAGAGUUCAUAUCGACGGCGGUGUUUGGCACCUCGAUGUCGGCUCAUCACAUCCUGGGGCUGAAGUCGGUCCCAAGGGUAUGGCUGUUA